RNAcentral lists this non-coding RNA (24 nucleotides) under Cricetulus griseus (Chinese hamster). The record is from RNAcentral. Lineage: Eukaryota; Metazoa; Chordata; Mammalia; Rodentia; Cricetidae.
AAUGGAAGGAACUCUUACACGUGU